This 465-nucleotide ribosomal RNA is filed under the name Vreelandella stevensii. RNAcentral describes it as "partial 16S ribosomal RNA". It matches the Rfam family "Bacterial small subunit ribosomal RNA", at positions 338 to 795 of the family's 1533-position model. The record is from RNAcentral. Lineage: Bacteria; Pseudomonadati; Pseudomonadota; Gammaproteobacteria; Oceanospirillales; Halomonadaceae.
CCUACGGGGGGCUGCAGUGGGGAAUAUUGGACAAUGGGGGGAACCCUGAUCCAGCCAUGCCGCGUGUGUGAAGAAGGCCCUCGGGUUGUAAAGCACUUUCAGUGAGGAAGAACGCCUGGUGGUUAAUACCCAUCAGGAAAGACAUCACUCACAGAAGAAGCACCGGCUAACUCCGUGCCAGCAGCCGCGGUAAUACGGAGGGUGCGAGCGUUAAUCGGAAUUACUGGGCGUAAAGCGCGCGUAGGUGGCUUGAUAAGCCGGUUGUGAAAGCCCCGGGCUCAACCUGGGAACGGCAUCCGGAACUGUCAAGCUAGAGUGCAGGAGAGGAGGGUAGAAUUCCCGGUGUAGCGGUGAAAUGCGUAGAGAUCGGGAGGAAUACCAGUGGCGAAGGCGGCCUUCUGGACUGACACUGACGCUGAGGUGCGAAAGCGUGGGUAGCAAACAGGAUUAGAUACCCUUGUAGUC